Molecule: small RNA, 651 nt
Filed under: uncultured fungus
Lineage: Eukaryota; Fungi
Description: eukaryotic LSU rRNA
Rfam family: 5.8S ribosomal RNA (bases 200-353)
Source: RNAcentral
GGAAGGAUCAUUAAUGAGUUGUAAUGGGAGUUGAUGCUGGCAGCUUGGCUGGAUGUGCUCGCUCCUAACAAUCUUCAUCUAAACACCUGUGCACAUUUAGAGAGGGGUCUCCGAGUUGUGCUUGGGGUGCCUUCCUCUGAUUACAGACUUUAUCUAAAUAUUGAACGUGAAUUGUGCCGUGAGGCCUUAAUAUUAAUACAACUUUUAACAACGGAUCUCUUGGCUCUCGCAUCGAUGAAGAACGCAGCGAAAUGCGAUAAGUAAUGUGAAUUGCAGAAUUCAGUGAAUCAUCGAAUUUUUGAACGCACCUUGCGCUCCCUGGUAUUCCGGGGAGCACGCCUGUUCGAGUGUCGUGAAAUUGUCAAACUGGGAUGCUUUUUGUGUCUCGGCUUGGUAUUGGGCUUUGCAGUUCCUUUGAUUGGGAUGGCUGGCCUGAAAAGCAUUAGCUGGCUUUUGAUGUGGGAUUGGUUCUACUCAGCGUGAUAAUGAUUAUGACCGCCGAGGACAUCUUUCGAGAUGGCCAAUUGUCAUUCAGGCUGCUUCUAAUUUUGGUUGAGGAGAUACUGAUCACAUCUGCUCGACUUUUGAACUUUUGACCUCGAAUCAGGUGGGACUACCCGCUGAACUUAAGCAUAUCAAUAAGCGGAGGAA